GGUAUAAGCAAGAACUAGUUAUACCGGGGAUAGGUACAAGUAUGGAUUUUCGUAGGAACAAGGGUAUUUUUUUAUUUGGAUGAAAUUGUGAGUAUAAGCUGAAACUAGAAAAAUUGUGUUUGGAUGGUUUUUGGAAAUAAGACAUAUAGUUGGUAGUUAUAAAUAGAAAAUAAUAAUAUUAUCCCUAUAAUUGAAUUUUAAACUUAUAAUUUUAAAUUUUAAAUUUUAACUUUUAAAUUUUAAAAUUAGAAAUUAAAAUUUUAAAUUUUAAUAUUCAAAAUUUUAAUUUUGAAUAUCAAAUUUAUAAUUUUAGACUAAAUUUAAAUUUCAAAGAUAUAAAAUAACAAAUUUAAAAACUAAAAAUAUCAAAUUUAAAAUUUAAAAAUUUAAAAUAUCAGAUUUAAAAUUUAAACUUUAAUAAAAUUUAAAAUUUUAAUUUAUUAAUUAUAAUUAUAAAAUUAUAAAUUUGAAAAAUUUAUAUUUAUAUUUAAAAUAAAAAUCUCUCUCUCUCUCUCUCUCUCUCUCUCUCUCUCUC
RNAcentral lists this long non-coding RNA (535 nucleotides) under Ananas comosus (pineapple). Its description in RNAcentral is "long non-coding RNA (ACOM_LNC013446)". Lineage: Eukaryota; Viridiplantae; Streptophyta; Magnoliopsida; Poales; Bromeliaceae. The record is from RNAcentral.